RNAcentral lists this long non-coding RNA (403 nucleotides) under Homo sapiens (human). Its description in RNAcentral is "non-protein coding lnc-NDFIP1-2:1". The record is from RNAcentral. Lineage: Eukaryota; Metazoa; Chordata; Mammalia; Primates; Hominidae.
CUGAUUCAUGAUGGGGUCUCUGUCAUGAGGCCUUAAGUCACGCUAAGUUACUUGGGGCCUUUUCUGACUUCUGGAGCAGAACACUCAGGCGGAUCUGUGACCCCAAGUGACAGCACCCACAGCCGGAGAGAAGCCCUUUGAGACAGGUUUGGAAGGCACAAAAGCUAAUUCUUCUGCCUCCUCCGUGUCUCAAAGCAUAAAAAUCCUCCAAUCUCCCGCCUGGAAGGUCGACGCCUGGCUGUCCACCUUCUGGGGACAGAUGAAGGCAGAGGGCUGGGGCUGUCUCAGCACACAGUCUGUAAACUUAAUCCCACUGUAGUCACCUGUGCUGCUUGUUGACCCUCUGUUGUUCCUUCUUCGGAGAAUAAAACGCCUGUCUCUGCCAGCUUUUGGGGAGAGGCAG